UACGAAGGGGGCUAGCGUUGUUCGGAAUUACUGGGCGUAAAGGGCGCGUAGGCUGUGCUGUAAGUCAGGCGUGAAAUCCCCGGGCUCAACCUGGGAAUUGCGUUUGAUACUGCGGCGCUGGAAUGCAGGAGAGGAUGGCGGGAUUCCCAGUGUAGAGGUGAAAUUCGUAGAUAUUGGGAAGAACACCGGUGGCGAAGGCGGCCAUCUGGCCUGUAAUUGACGCUGAGGCGCGAAAGCGUGGGGAGCAAACAGG
RNAcentral lists this ribosomal RNA (253 nucleotides) under uncultured bacterium. RNAcentral's name for it is "partial 16S ribosomal RNA". It matches the Rfam family "Bacterial small subunit ribosomal RNA", at positions 524 to 776 of the family's 1533-position model. The record is from RNAcentral.